RNAcentral lists this ribosomal RNA (2903 nucleotides) under Escherichia coli. Its description in RNAcentral is "23S ribosomal RNA". It matches the Rfam family "Bacterial large subunit ribosomal RNA". Lineage: Bacteria; Pseudomonadati; Pseudomonadota; Gammaproteobacteria; Enterobacterales; Enterobacteriaceae. The record is from RNAcentral.
GGUUAAGCGACUAAGCGUACACGGUGGAUGCCCUGGCAGUCAGAGGCGAUGAAGGACGUGCUAAUCUGCGAUAAGCGUCGGUAAGGUGAUAUGAACCGUUAUAACCGGCGAUUUCCGAAUGGGGAAACCCAGUGUGAUUCGUCACACUAUCAUUAACUGAAUCCAUAGGUUAAUGAGGCGAACCGGGGGAACUGAAACAUCUAAGUACCCCGAGGAAAAGAAAUCAACCGAGAUUCCCCCAGUAGCGGCGAGCGAACGGGGAGCAGCCCAGAGCCUGAAUCAGUGUGUGUGUUAGUGGAAGCGUCUGGAAAGGCGCGCGAUACAGGGUGACAGCCCCGUACACAAAAAUGCACAUGCUGUGAGCUCGAUGAGUAGGGCGGGACACGUGGUAUCCUGUCUGAAUAUGGGGGGACCAUCCUCCAAGGCUAAAUACUCCUGACUGACCGAUAGUGAACCAGUACCGUGAGGGAAAGGCGAAAAGAACCCCGGCGAGGGGAGUGAAAAAGAACCUGAAACCGUGUACGUACAAGCAGUGGGAGCACGCUUCGGCGUGUGACUGCGUACCUUUUGUAUAAUGGGUCAGCGACUUAUAUUCUGUAGCAAGGUUAACCGAAUAGGGGAGCCGAAGGGAAACCGAGUCUUAACUGGGCGUUAAGUUGCAGGGUAUAGACCCGAAACCCGGUGAUCUAGCCAUGGGCAGGUUGAAGGUUGGGUAACACUAACUGGAGGACCGAACCGACUAAUGUUGAAAAAUUAGCGGAUGACUUGUGGCUGGGGGUGAAAGGCCAAUCAAACCGGGAGAUAGCUGGUUCUCCCCGAAAGCUAUUUAGGUAGCGCCUCGUGAAUUCAUCUCCGGGGGUAGAGCACUGUUUCGGCAAGGGGGUCAUCCCGACUUACCAACCCGAUGCAAACUGCGAAUACCGGAGAAUGUUAUCACGGGAGACACACGGCGGGUGCUAACGUCCGUCGUGAAGAGGGAAACAACCCAGACCGCCAGCUAAGGUCCCAAAGUCAUGGUUAAGUGGGAAACGAUGUGGGAAGGCCCAGACAGCCAGGAUGUUGGCUUAGAAGCAGCCAUCAUUUAAAGAAAGCGUAAUAGCUCACUGGUCGAGUCGGCCUGCGCGGAAGAUGUAACGGGGCUAAACCAUGCACCGAAGCUGCGGCAGCGACACUAUGUGUUGUUGGGUAGGGGAGCGUUCUGUAAGCCUGUGAAGGUGUACUGUGAGGUAUGCUGGAGGUAUCAGAAGUGCGAAUGCUGACAUAAGUAACGAUAAAGCGGGUGAAAAGCCCGCUCGCCGGAAGACCAAGGGUUCCUGUCCAACGUUAAUCGGGGCAGGGUGAGUCGACCCCUAAGGCGAGGCCGAAAGGCGUAGUCGAUGGGAAACAGGUUAAUAUUCCUGUACUUGGUGUUACUGCGAAGGGGGGACGGAGAAGGCUAUGUUGGCCGGGCGACGGUUGUCCCGGUUUAAGCGUGUAGGCUGGUUUUCCAGGCAAAUCCGGAAAAUCAAGGCUGAGGCGUGAUGACGAGGCACUACGGUGCUGAAGCAACAAAUGCCCUGCUUCCAGGAAAAGCCUCUAAGCAUCAGGUAACAUCAAAUCGUACCCCAAACCGACACAGGUGGUCAGGUAGAGAAUACCAAGGCGCUUGAGAGAACUCGGGUGAAGGAACUAGGCAAAAUGGUGCCGUAACUUCGGGAGAAGGCACGCUGAUAUGUAGGUGAAGCGACUUGCUCGUGGAGCUGAAAUCAGUCGAAGAUACCAGCUGGCUGCAACUGUUUAUUAAAAACACAGCACUGUGCAAACACGAAAGUGGACGUAUACGGUGUGACGCCUGCCCGGUGCCGGAAGGUUAAUUGAUGGGGUUAGCGCAAGCGAAGCUCUUGAUCGAAGCCCCGGUAAACGGCGGCCGUAACUAUAACGGUCCUAAGGUAGCGAAAUUCCUUGUCGGGUAAGUUCCGACCUGCACGAAUGGCGUAAUGAUGGCCAGGCUGUCUCCACCCGAGACUCAGUGAAAUUGAACUCGCUGUGAAGAUGCAGUGUACCCGCGGCAAGACGGAAAGACCCCGUGAACCUUUACUAUAGCUUGACACUGAACAUUGAGCCUUGAUGUGUAGGAUAGGUGGGAGGCUUUGAAGUGUGGACGCCAGUCUGCAUGGAGCCGACCUUGAAAUACCACCCUUUAAUGUUUGAUGUUCUAACGUUGGCCCCUGAUCGGGGUUGCGGACAGUGUCUGGUGGGUAGUUUGACUGGGGCGGUCUCCUCCUAAAGAGUAACGGAGGAGCACGAAGGUUGGCUAAUCCUGGUCGGACAUCAGGAGGUUAGUGCAAUGGCAUAAGCCAGCUUGACUGCGAGCGUGACGGCGCGAGCAGGUGCGAAAGCAGGUCAUAGUGAUCCGGUGGUUCUGAAUGGAAGGGCCAUCGCUCAACGGAUAAAAGGUACUCCGGGGAUAACAGGCUGAUACCGCCCAAGAGUUCAUAUCGACGGCGGUGUUUGGCACCUCGAUGUCGGCUCAUCACAUCCUGGGGCUGAAGUAGGUCCCAAGGGUAUGGCUGUUCGCCAUUUAAAGUGGUACGCGAGCUGGGUUUAGAACGUCGUGAGACAGUUCGGUCCCUAUCUGCCGUGGGCGCUGGAGAACUGAGGGGGGCUGCUCCUAGUACGAGAGGACCGGAGUGGACGCAUCACUGGUGUUCGGGUUGUCAUGCCAAUGGCACUGCCCGGUAGCUAAAUGCGGAAGAGAUAAGUGCUGAAAGCAUCUAAGCACGAAACUUGCCCCGAGAUGAGUUCUCCCUGACUCCCUGAGAGUCCUGAAGGAACGUUGAAGACGACGACGUUGAUAGGCCGGGUGUGUAAGCGCAGCGAUGCGUUGAGCUAACCGGUACUAAUGAACCGUGAGGCUUAACCUU